CGUAUUGAAAUUUUAUUCUGAAAAGUGGAGAGAAAUUCUUCAAUAUAUUUUAUAUACGAUUUGUUGGGAAGCUCUCCACUGAAGUUCUCUCCUGUAAAGUGGAAAGAUAUAUUUCAAUAUAAUUUACACUAGUGUAGAAAUUGCAACGGAUAGAAAUUGUAGUAGUAAUUAAUAAUAAGAAAAUAUUAAACAUUCUCUUGUGUAUCUCACUUGAUAUAUCCACCAAACGUCAUGGCGGAAAGGGGAAGUGGGCACACAUUAGUGAGAGAGAGGAAGAGAGCGAGGGAAGGAGGCGAUGGUGUAUAGCAAAAGAUGAGAGAUAAAGAAUUGAUGAAUAGAUUGGAGAUAAAAAAUUAAAAGUCUGGUGGAGGGAAGGAAAAUAACCAUAAUGAAUAAUUGGAGAUAGAGAGGUUAGAAUUGUAAAAUAGUAGUGAGAUCAUUUAAGCAUACUAAUUGAAAGUUUGGUAGUGGAAUCGUUUGCAUUAAUUGAAAGUAUAGUGGAGGAAAUGGAAAGGGUUAUAAUGAAUAAUUGUAGAUAGAAUGGUAGAUGAUAGUGGGACCAUUUAAAUAUAUUAAUUGAAAGUUUUGUUAGUGGAACAAUUUAAAUACAUUAAUUGAAGGUUUUGUUAGUGGAACCGUUAAAAUAUACAUUGAAAGUUUAGUAAGGGGAAGAAGAAGAGUCACAUGCUACUGAGGGUGAAAGAAAACCUGCCAUGUGGCAACAAACAUUGGGAAUUCAUGUAAGUUAAUAGAUAAUAAAUAAUAUGGGUGGUUGUAGAUGCAUGUUGGUGGAUGUUGUUACAUGUUCACAUGUAAAUUUAUCGACGCUUUGUAGAAGGGAAAAAAAAAUAUAAAUGUAUAAAUAUACUUCACGAAUGGAGGUUAUAAACCAACCAAACAAGUUGAGAAUAAUAUAAGGCUUCGAUACGAAGUAGGAUGAUGCCACAAGCUGGUUUUUGAUACGGUUCUACCGUAUCGAGAAGAAUAAACGAU
This 993-nucleotide long non-coding RNA is filed under the name Ananas comosus (pineapple). Its description in RNAcentral is "long non-coding RNA (ACOM_LNC003044)". Lineage: Eukaryota; Viridiplantae; Streptophyta; Magnoliopsida; Poales; Bromeliaceae. The record is from RNAcentral.